CGGGGAAUAUUGGACAAUGGGCGCAAGCCUGAUCCAGCCAUGCCGCGUGAGUGAUGAAGGCCCUAGGGUUGUAAAGCUCUUUCACCGGUGAAGAUAAUGACGGUAACCGGAGAAGAAGCCCCGGCUAACUUCGUGCCAGCAGCCGCGGUAAUACGAAGGGGGCUAGCGUUGUUCGGAUUUACUGGGCGUAAAGCGCACGUAGGCGGACUUUUAAGUCAGGGGUGAAAUCCCGGGGCUCAACCCCGGAACUGCCUUUGAUACUGGAAGUCUUGAGUAUGGUAGAGGUGAGUGGAAUUACGAGUGUAGAGGUGAAAUUCGUAGAUAUUCGGAGGAACACCAGUGGCGAAGGCGGCUCACUGGACCAUUACUGACGCUGAGGUGAGAAAGCGUGGGGAGCAAACAGG
Molecule: ribosomal RNA, 404 nt
Filed under: Actinomycetes bacterium
Lineage: Bacteria; Bacillati; Actinomycetota; Actinomycetes
Description: Actinobacteria bacterium partial 16S ribosomal RNA
Rfam family: Bacterial small subunit ribosomal RNA
Source: RNAcentral